RNAcentral lists this ribosomal RNA (440 nucleotides) under uncultured bacterium. RNAcentral describes it as "partial 16S ribosomal RNA". It matches the Rfam family "Bacterial small subunit ribosomal RNA", at positions 338 to 795 of the family's 1533-position model. The record is from RNAcentral.
CCUACGGGAGGCAGCAGUGGGGAAUAUUGCGCAAUGGGCGAAAGCCUGACGCAGCGACGCCGCGUGAGGGAUGAAGGUCUUCGGAUUGUAAACUUCUGUUCUUGUGAAGAAUAAUGAACGGUGCUAAGGAGCAAGCCAACGCCAACUACGUGCCAGCAGACGCGGUAAUACGUAGGUGGAAAGCGUUGUCCGGAAUUACUGGGUGUAAAGGGAGCGCAGGCGGGAAGCCAAGUCAGCUGUGAAAACUACGGGCUUAACUUGUAGACUGCAGUUGAAACUGGUUUUCUUGAGUGAAGUAGAGGUUGGCGGAAUUCCGAGUGUAGCGGUGAAAUGCGUAGAUAUUCGGAGGAACACCGGUGGCGAAGGCGGCCAACUGGGCUUUAACUGACGCUGAGGCUCGAAAGUGUGGGGAGCAAACAGGAUUAGAUACCCCAGUAGUC